GCGCACGGGUGAGUAAUAUAUAGAUAACGUGCCUCUUAGUCUGGGAUAGCCAUUGGAAACGAUGAUUAAUACCGGAUACUCCUUCUCUUUCUAAUAAGAGUUGGGAAAGUUUUUCGCUAAGAGAUCGGUCUAUAUCCCAUCAGCUUGUUGGUAGUGUAAGAGACUACCAAGGCUAUGACGGGUAGCGGGUUUGAGAGGAUGAUCCGCCACACUGGUACUGAGACACGGACCAGACUCCUACGGGAGGCAGCAGUGAGGAAUAUUGCACAAUGGAGGAAACUCUGAUGCAGCAACGCCGCGUGGAGGAUGACGCAUUUCGGUGUGUAAACUCCUUUUAUAGGUCAAGAAAAUGACGGUAGCAUAUGAAUAAGCACCGGCUAACUCCGUGCCAGCAGCCGCGGUAAUACGGAGGGUGCAAGCGUUAUUCGGAAUCACUGGGCGUAAAGGACGCGUAGGCGGGAAGCCAAGUCUGAUGUGAAAUCCUAUGGCUUAACCAUAGAACUGCAUUGGAAACUGGUUACCUAGAGUAUGGGAGGGGGAGAUGGAAUUAGUGGUGUAGGGGUAAAAUCCGUAGAUAUCACUAGGAAUACCGAAAGCGAAGGCGAUCUCCUGGAACAAUACUGACGCUAAGGCGUG
RNAcentral lists this ribosomal RNA (636 nucleotides) under uncultured bacterium. RNAcentral describes it as "bacterial SSU rRNA". It matches the Rfam family "Bacterial small subunit ribosomal RNA", at positions 98 to 755 of the family's 1533-position model. The record is from RNAcentral.